UCGGGAUAACACCUGGAAACAGAUGCUAAUACCGGAUAACAACAGAUGAUGCCUAUCAACUGUUUAAAAGAUGGUUCUGCUAUCACUCUUGGAUGGACCUGCGGUGCAUUAGCUAGUUGGUAAGGUAACGGCUUACCAAGGCGAUGAUGCAUAGCCGAGUUGAGAGACUGAUCGGCCACAAUGGAACUGAGACACGGUCCAUACUCCUACGGGAGGCAGCAGUA
This 224-nucleotide ribosomal RNA is filed under the name uncultured Lactobacillus sp. RNAcentral's name for it is "partial 16S ribosomal RNA". It matches the Rfam family "Bacterial small subunit ribosomal RNA", at positions 138 to 355 of the family's 1533-position model. Lineage: Bacteria; Bacillati; Bacillota; Bacilli; Lactobacillales; Lactobacillaceae. The record is from RNAcentral.